RNAcentral lists this transfer RNA (71 nucleotides) under Canis lupus familiaris (dog). It matches the Rfam family "tRNA". From Rfam's summary of the family: Transfer RNA (tRNA) molecules are approximately 80 nucleotides in length. Their secondary structure includes four short double-helical elements and three loops (D, anti-codon, and T loops). Further hydrogen bonds mediate the characteristic L-shaped molecular structure. tRNAs have two regions of fundamental functional importance: the anti-codon, which is responsible for specific mRNA codon recognition, and the 3' end, to which the tRNAs corresponding amino acid is attached (by aminoacyl-tRNA synthetases). tRNAs cope with the degeneracy of the genetic code in two manners: having more than one tRNA (with a specific anti-codon) for a particular amino acid; and 'wobble' base-pairing, i.e. permitting non-standard base-pairing at the 3rd anti-codon position. RNAcentral also lists the same sequence under 1 other name. The record is from Rfam by way of RNAcentral. Lineage: Eukaryota; Metazoa; Chordata; Mammalia; Carnivora; Canidae.
ACCUGGCUGGCUUAGUUGGAAGAGCAUGAGACUUGAUCUCAGGCUUGUGAGUUCGAGCCCCAUGUUGGGUG